GGCCUCAUGAUGUGGGUGCAGCCCAUAAAAACUGUGUGGUUUGGAACCGAAGAUUUUCUCUUUUUUUUUCUGCCACGAGAGGUUCUCUGGAGGCAUACUCUCCAGCACCGUGGCUAAUAACGCGUUGUUCCAAUUCAGUCUGGCCUUGUCAUGCAUGCAAUAAAUAAAGUGAUGGGUUUCCCUGUUUCAAUAUCCACAAUAAUGUUGAAUCACUAUGGAUGAUGUCUUUAUAUUUCUCAAAGAGCAAAAACAAACAACUUCCAUAUAAAUUUAUAUCUAAUAUGACAAAAAUAAAUAGCUAAGGAUAAUAAAGGAUUUCCAAUUAAACGCACCACCAAUAAAAUAGCUAUUGUUUGAGUAAAUUCGAAAGAAAUAAAUUUUUGCAUGUAUUUCUUGAUGGUUCUGUCAAAAGGUAAGAAAUAAAGGUAACCUAGAGCGUCAAAGAGAGAAGUGAAUUUCGUGUCUAGUUUAGGUCUUGCUUGGAAGCAAUGAAAAUAAACUCAGGGAAAAAAAACCUACAAUAAAGGGGUGUUUGACACUGCUAUGUGUUCCAGCUUUAUCGUGAAGCUGCGGUGUAUAAUAGAAAUUUAUAUGGUUUUAAAAAUAUUUUUAUACAACUUUGUAAUUAAAACAUUUUUCAUUUAAAUUAAUUUACUGCUUCAAACUAUGAUUUGAAAAUUGCCUUUGUCUAGUGUACAAAGAAAACACUCGGCAAAGAAUUUCUUUGUCAAGUGCCAAAAAGAAAAUACUCGGCAAAGAAGCUCUUUGCUGAGUAUUUUAUUUUACCAAGCAUUUUAUAUUUGACACUCGACAAAGAGCUUUUUGCCGAGUGCCAAAAAAACACUCGGAAAAGACUCGUUUUUAGGUAGCGCCUAAUGCAAAAGAGGAAUCAAUAAAUACAACACGUAAAGAAGAAGAAUUAGAGAGGGCAAGCUCUUGUCGAAAAGGUGAUUUAUCCCAUAAUAUCAUAUGUCAAAAUGCAACCUCUAAUUUAUGUCAAAGUUCCACCGUGGUACUUCCCGAUCACCAAACCUUCCCUAUCCAUGGUGUUUGGUUCACCAUAGAGACUCCUGCCAAUCAUGGCACAUUCCAUAAGCCAACAAAGCAAACUACUGCUGCUCCACACUUACCAUCACCUUAGUGCCAUCAUCACCACUAAGUUUCUCUGUCAUGGAAGUGCUAUAGUCCACUCAUCUCUACACACAUGAAGUUAUUGCUUCUCCACACCAUGAUUUACUAUAGGCAUUAACACUGUAACUGGUCAUCCACAAUGGCCCCCAUAAUCUCGAUAGCCUAAACAUAUAAGAGAUCACCUCAACUCUAAACCUAGAGAAUUGAUUACUAAGGUCACAGUGAGGUUGUAGUGUAUUUAUUUUUCACAUGAAGCAAUUCCAUCUAGCUUCUAUAAUCUCCACCAACCUACAAAUGGGCACCCAAAGGCAUAUUCAUAGACCAUAAAAGUUCCUUGGCAUUGGGAACAAAAGCUAGUAAAUCUGUCAUCAUCGGAUGUUCUGAUGUAGUCCAUGUAUAUGUGAAUCAUGUAAGGAAAAUAGACCAUGGCCCAUUUGAUAAAUAAAAUUUUGGUGUUUGAUGAUCAACAUGACAUUUGUACUAACAAUAAUUACUAGUGUUUUGUUAUAGCUCAAAGGAUACAACAUGGACUUGAAUGAAGGAGAAGUGGUGAUCGAUAUGAUCAACACCUCAAACAAAGACAUUAGAAGACUCAUUGAAGAUCUACAACAUGCAAGUCCAAGACACAAUAUGGAAACUGUUGGUGUAAGGUUCACAAACAAACAAUAGAUAGAAGAUAUUACGGGGGGCAUAAGACCAUACUAGCACUACCAGACACAGUUGCUUUGCUGGGUGCUAUAGGCACGUGGCAAAACCCAGAAAACACUCGGAAAACUCUUUUCUGAGUGUAACUCUCGGUAUAGAGGACUUAGUGAACUAUACAACGGCAAUAGCUUCUUUGUCGAGUACUUUUUGUCGGGCAUUUGUCGAAGUCUUUGCUGAGUGCCAUCUAGUGCUUGACGAUGGUGAUAGAGACUUUGCCAAGUGUACUCAAUGGCACUCGGUAAAGAGGGAGCCUUUGUCAAGUGCCUACUGGCCUAGCGCUCAACAAAGAAGGCUACAGUUAGCCCACACGGUAGCCUCUGUGCCUUGAGCUGCAAGCUGGCACUCAGUAAAGGGAGCUUCUUUGCCGAGUGUCUGCCUAUCUGGCAGUUGGCAAAGGGAGCAUCAUUGGGCCUCUUUGCCCAGUGCGCUAGGAGGCACGCGGCAAAGGGAGCUUCUUUACUGAGUGUUAGGACUACAACACUCGACAAACAAGCUUUACCGCUUUCUAGUCGUGCCUUCUUUGCUGAGUGCUAUGGUCACGACACUCGGCAAAGGCACUCUUUGCCAAGUGUUACACUCAACAAAGUGCCCAAAGACUCCCUUUUUAUUUUUUUCGUUAUUCCAUCCAAACAAACAAAAGAUAUAAAUCAUUGACAUCACAUAUAUCACAGAAUCAAAACAUGUAUCACCUACACCACAUAUCUCAUAAAAUAUCACCACUUCAAACAAGUUUCACAAACAUAAAUCUCACCAACACCAAAUUUUCCCGACAUCGACGCCAGAAUUCAUGAAGAAAUUGCUCCAUGUAUGGCGUCACCUCUUCAAGAUUGGUCAAUAGGCAUAGCAUGAUACGACACCACUCUUCAUGUAUCAAGGUCAUGGUGGUCGAACCACUUGCGCUUUCGAGUUGCCCUCAAAAUGAUGAGGUUCGAUUUAUUUUCUCCAUCAUUGUAACGAGGGGGUGGAUUAUGCAUGCUUGACAGUUUGUCACUAUAGUAAAUUGUUGUGAAGUUUGACACCUCCUCCAGUAUGUACGCCUCUGCAAUGGUGUAACACCCUAAAUUUGGGGGUAUAAAAUUUCUUUCUUAUUAUCAUCCAAAUUCAGGUGUUACUCUUCUCUAUCUCUCUCUAGUUUCUCUCUCUCUUUCUCUUUUGGUUAGGGUUAGCUUUAUUAGUGAGGGAUUAUGUAUUUUAUUUUUGACAAAACAGAUGAGUCAUGAAAUGUUGCAUUAUAUUGAGCCCAAAUAUUCUUUGAAUUGUUGCACAUGUUUGAUUUGAACUGAAUUUGAAACUUGAUUUGAAUUUGAUUUGAAAACCCUAGAGAAAAUAAAUAGAAAAGCAAUUAGAAAUUCCUUGAAAAUGGAAAAACCCAAUUCAGCCCAAGUCGGCCCACUAAGCCCAGCCCCGCGCACCCGUGCGCCCUCGGUGCCAACCCGCGCGCCCUCUCUCCCUCUCUCUGUCUUGUUGCCCCGUGGGCCAGGUUUGUCGGCGUCGUUCCUUUCGCAUGCGCGCCCGCUUCCCUCUCUGUCCCGCCGACCCCACCUGUCAGCUCGUCCCCAACCUCCCGCCCACGAUCCCCCGCCUGGACGCGCCCACGACCUCGCGAUCUCCGGCCACCUCCGCACGUCCUUGCCCCUUUUGAGCCUCGCGCCCUGCUCGCCCACCUUCCCCGCUCACUUGCGCCCUCAGUCGAACCCUCUCACCCCCUCUCUCGCUCUGCGCGCGCGACUAGAGAGCUCCACCACCGCCCACCGUCGACUGACGUCUGUUCUGCGACCGUCAUCGAGCCCGCGGCCCGUCUGUUGCCUCGGUGAGUUCCGCCUUGCCGUCAACUACUCAGGACACCUUCUGGUUUGCCCUUCCCCUCUCUGGUUUGCCCAGUCCACGCUCACCGGAGCAUUUCUUGCACAACCGGAGUCCCGCCGCCGUCGACCCGAGGCUCCAUCGCACCCCCGUUGUUCUCCAAGCGUCCCAGAGUUCACACUCGAGGUGAGCACCCUUCCCAUGCCUUUAUUUCGCCAAGUAUCGCCCUAGAGCCCGUGCAAUUGCUCAUCGGAGUUAGUUGUGCUGCCGCGGGACUUUUUCCACCACGGUCUAAGUUCUCUAGCGCCCUCGUGCCGGUUCUGCGCCCACGGUCGUGUUUCCCUUGUCACCCUGAACGCGCCUGACCCUUUCCCUAAGCCCCUAAAGCCUUGCCAUGGCCGCCCCCCUUGUCUCCGGCGAGCCCUUGCCGCGGGACCAAGUGGCUCCACUGCGCUCAUGUCCGGCCCCCAGCCAUUGGAUCUCGGGCGUCCAUUCGAGAUCUAAUGGUUUAGGUUUAAUCAGUGCGGAUCUAAUCUCAGCCCUCCGAUCCAGAUCCGACCGCUCUUCUCUCUCCCCCUCACCUGCGCCUCUGCCUCUGGGCCCGGCUGGUUAGCCCGUCCUGGUUCGCUGACACCCCACCCCGCCUGUCAAUCGCGUCCUUGGGCUCGCGCCCGCGCCCGCGCGCGCGUCCGUAGGAUCUAAUCCUGUCCGUUGAUCUCUGAUCCGAUGGUCGAGAUCACCCAGUACCCCUUCGCAUGUAUGUUUUGCUUAAGAGACCCUCGAGUUUUAGGAAAUCAACCCGCCGUCCUGAGUUUUAGCGCACAGACCCCUGGUUUCUUUUAAAUAGCCCCCUAUGCUUUUAUUUAAUCACAGAAUUAGCCCUAAUUUCAUAUUUUAAACUUCAAAACUUGUUUAUUUCAUAUCUUUUUCAUAUGAACUCCAAAUUUAGUGGUUCAAAUUGCAAAAUGUUCAUGAAAUUAUUCUCUGCCCAAAUAAAUUAUGUUCAUCUAUAGUUUGUACACUUUAAUUUUACACCUAGAAUAUAAGAUUAAUGUAUAUGUUGAUUUACUCAUUUAAUGAAAUAGAUAAAAGGGAAGCCCUAGAAGUUGAAGUAUAUUUAAUCUUGUGACAUUAAUAAUAUGUACUACAUGAAUUCAUCUCUGGUUUAACUUUUAGGUCUCAAUAAAAUGAAUAGAAUUAGGUUAUGUAAUUAUGGACAACACUUAAAGAAUAAUCAAUUUUUAAAUGAGAUUAGUUCAUCUUACAAUUUAAUCUCUUUCUUUAUUUAAUUACUAUUUUACCUUUUUGAGAUGUGUUCCAAACACUUAGAGAGUAAUCAAUUCCUAAUUAAGAUUAGUUUAUUUUAUAAUUUGAUCUCCUUCUCCUUUAUUUAAUACUAUACCUUUUGAGAUGUGUUCCAAUGUUUGUACAUGCUUGAUGUGUUGUUCAUUUGUACUUUCCAAAUGUAUUGAAUGUAUGAUCGCUUUAUUUAGACAACGAGUAGCCCGUGGUUCCUGAGUGUGUUGCCGAAGAUCCCUCUAAGCAACAACCUGGUGAAGGGAAGUGUCCUUAGACCUAUCAUGUCCUACUUUACUUUAUAAUUCACUGUCCCGCGUUACAUUAUUGAAACUUAAGGAUUGACUAGUCUGUAUUUACCUUACCCUUGUUUACCUUUUUGGGUUAAUCAUGGUUAGCUUAUGCUAUUGCUUUAUCUUAAUCAAUGAACAUGAUGUGAUUAUUUAUGAUACGAUGAUGUUAUCCCAAUGAGGUUCUUGUGAUUACUUUAGGGGGCUCAGGCUGUUUCCUCUCCGUAAGGACCUGUUUGGGGAGUGGCAACCCGGGAUAACAGUGCAACCAUGAGGGUGGAAUGGGACGCCCUUAGCUGAUUAAUUAGAGGAACCAAAGGAGUAGUUGGCUUUGCCGUAGGGCCAUCAAUGGGGUCCGGGCAUAGUACUUGCUCUGCCGAGGCUGGUUGCAGAGGUUCUUGAUUUGGUUUUGUUAGUCACCCUUCCUUUGGGGAGAUGUACUGUGUUUAUCAAACUGGAGAAACCUAACAGAUGACUACGACCUCUGGGAAAUCUUUGUAAAGGCGACGUAGUGAGACCCUGCUAGGUUACCUUGGCAAAUGUGGUGGCAGAUGCUUUGAGCAGAAAAGAGUCAAUUUAAUAUGUUGGCCGCUCACCCGAUGUCAUACGAGCUAGCAAAGGAAUUUGAUAGAUUGAGUCUCGGAUUUCUAAACAACACUCAAGGAGUGACAAUUGAGCUGGAACCCACUAUAGAGCAAGAUAUCAGGAAGGGCCAGAAGGAUGAUGAGAAGAUCAACGAGAUCCGACAGCUGAUCAUAGAUGGAAAAGGCAAGGAUUUCCAUGAAGAUGUAGAGGAGUGGUAUGGUUCAAGGAUAGGUUGUGUGUUCUCGACAUCAAAUCGAUCCGGGAACCAAUUCUCAAGGAAGCUCAUGAGACAGCAUAUUCUAUACACCUCGGUAGCGAGAAGAUGUACCGAGACCUAAAGAAACAAUUCUGGUGGUACGGUAUGACAAGGGAGAUAGCAGAGUAUGUGGCUAUAUGCGACAAUUGUUAGAGGAUCAAGGCAGAACACCAGAGGUUUGUUGCAGCCGUUACAGAUUCCUCAGUGGGAAUGGGAUGAGAUGGGGAUGGACUUUAUAGUUGGUUUGCCUCACACUUGUACUGGUUAUGACUCCAUCUGGGUAGUACUGGACCGUUUGACAAAGGCGACCCAUUUCAUACCAGUCAAGACCACCUACAAUAGUGCAGUGUUGGCCGAACUAUACAUAUCUCGGGUGUUGGAGACUUGUUCUCAAAUGCUAUAAAUUAAGAACAAGUCAACACGAAAAUAGCUUAAUGGUUAAUGUCCUUCGUCCUUCGAAGCAUUACUUCCCUAAGGAUAUAACGAUCUUCGGACGAAGGUUGUGAAGGACGUACCUUCAUCAUCAUAGCAUAAAUCAAUGAAAGACGAAGCAUACGAAACAUGGAAAAAUAACAUGGAUAAUUAUAUGACAUCAUAAUGUAUCUUUUAUUACAUGAUUAUGAAUGAGUAAAAACAGUAUUGAGUUACAUUUGUACCUUCAGCUUGACAGAAGGUAAAAGCACAAGCGUGAUGCACAAGUGAAUACAAAUCAGCGUGAACAGUACGGAGGUACUGUUCAUCUAUUUAUAGGCACAGGGCGCAACCUGUGUGGAUUUACAUUCAUGUCCUUUAUAACUGGUUACAAUCAUGACACAUAUUAUCAUGGGCCGAUCGGUCUUUUCAUCUUUAAGUCGGUGCAACCCUUCGUCUCAAGGCGUGUCACUAUGCUGAAGCUCCCUGGAUGGUAGCUUCGGUGAUGCUUCUAUGUUGAUCUUCCGAAGGUAUUUCUUCUUACAGGACCUUCGGCGACGAAGCUGACCCCCAACAGUAGCCCCUUCGCAGUGCUAGAUCGUUUUUUGUAACGAGCUUGAUCCGUGAAAACUUGUCCUAGGCUUUGGAAUGCCGAAGGUCCGAAAAACACCUUCCCUAAGCUCGUUGCCGAGAAACGAUUAAAAUAUUCCGAGCGCGAGGUGGCCCCACCAUGCGGCGGGUACACGCGAUCUGGCGAUUCAUCUCCCACGCGCCGUGGUCCACCGUUCAGUGGGUGCGGGUGACUGUUGAGCGGGUGCGAGCGACUUGAUGAUUCACCUUCACACUUGCAGCACUAUAUAAACAGACGGGUAGGUGUGAAGUUACCACAACAUUCAUUGUCAUUGCACUGUUUUGCUGCUGAAAAAUUUAACCAUAGCCGAAGCUUUCUCAUCGCAUUCUCAAGCAAAGCAUCAUUUUGAUUUAGCUUCGGCAUAAGAGGGAGCUUUGUCAAAACUAUAAAAAUCAUCAACAUUCGUAAGAACUGCAAGAAAUUCAACACCUGAUGGCUAGAGUACGUUCAACUGCUAGAGUGACCCGUGACGGAGAGGAGGCCGAAGCCACCGAAACAGCCCCGAUUUCCGAAGUUAUGAAGCAAUCUAGAUUGGUUGUGACAGAGGGGACUGUUGACGAAGAUGUACAUACUGCUGAGGCUGAAGAAGCUGAUGUUGAGGAAGGAAAUACUGAUGAAGAAGAAGACUAUAACACUCUAGUCCCAUCAAAGCCUAACAACUUAGAUUUUGAAAAAUCUACUGUCUCUGAGGCCGAUGUGCCGAUGAUGAUGAAGCUCGGUUACUUCGAGGAGUCAGAGAAGAAGCUUCUUUGUUUUGCCGGUGAAGCAACCAUCCCAGAGCCAAAAGAUGACGAAGUGGUAGUUUUCAAAAGCUUUUUCAAAGAUGGAUUGCGGUUUCUGCUUCAUGAGAUGAUUGGGGAAGUUUUGAAUAAUUAUGAAAUUUAUCUUCAUUAGCUGACUCCUAACGCUAUCGUUAGGCUCAGCAUGUUCAUUUAGGCCCUUCGAAGCCAGGGAAUGGAUCCAAAUGCUAAAUACUUCUGCUGAGUACAUGAGCUACAUUAUCAGACGAAGGCUAGAGAAGAUAGGCUUCAUGAGAAUUUUGGCUAAGCUACCGCACCAAGUGGCCAACUGGCUGGAAAAGUGAGUGGUUCUACAUUAAAGCUGAUGAGAAGAAAAGGGAGAAGCUGAAGACGUUAGUACUGAGCCCGUUGAGUUUGAGCUACGGGUUGACUAGGCCCUUGUGCCGUAUGUCGUCGGGGUCACCAUGCCAACAGGUUGUGGCAGAAUUUAGAGUUGUGACUGAGCAGAUCGGCACUAGAGAUCUGGUACAAGAAUUCUUAGCCUAUGGGGUAUUUCCGACGUUGAGUGAAUGGAAUAUGCCGAAGCUGAAAGGAGAAAAGAAAAAGAAUGAACUUGUUCGAUUGCCAUAUCACUUCAAGUUCAAGAAACAAUUCAAAGAGCCUUGCCAAAAGUGGCUAGAAAUGAUUGAGGCUACGUGCAAUGAGAUUUUGGGCAACUAUACUAAAAAAUAAGAUCAACUGAUGACUGCAGCCUUCGGCACCCGACCGAAGCGAAGGCUGAAUCGAGUAAUGGAUGCGCUGAACUUUGAAUAUCCUGACUAUAAACGAUUAAGCAAGGGUGCCGAAGGGUCAAAGUGAAAAAGGGUUGUCAGUGUUAUGAACAGACAGGCUGCUAGGAUGAUAAAAGAAGAUGAAUUUUUUUUGAAAAAAAAGUCUAGUCCUGAGCCGAAGGUGACAACCUCGAAGAAGAGGAAAACAGCAACUCCAGAGCCGAAGAUGGCUGAGAUAGAAGAGGGAGCUCCUUCGACACCUUCUGCUACUGAAGUGGAAGAAAUUUUAAAGGUAAUGACCGAAUCCUUACCUAUCAAGCUACUAAGUCCCCUGGGGCCAGAACUGACAAAGCUUUUAUAGAAGAAGGACGAGCCUUCGGCAGCGAAGAAGGCGGUUGGGCGAAAAAAGCAAAGGAUUGUUACUGUUAUGCAAGCAAUUGAAGAAACGCCACUGCUGGCCUCAGCGUCAAAAAUAACACCAGCUACUGAAGUUGCUACAGCUACCGAAGCUGCUCCCACUGAAGCUACAACUGCCAAAGCUGCAACGGCCGAAGCCAUGAAUCUGGAGAGCACAUUAUCUGAUAUUGAUAGAAUACUCUUGGAUAUGGCCGCAGAAGAAGCUGCUGCAGCUGCUGAAGAAACCCUGGCCACAGUGCCUAGAAAAGGCAAGGAGAUUGCCGAAGAUAUUUUGGAGGAAAAAGACUUCAAUUUUCAAAACAUAAUUGGUCAAGAGUUAUCUAAGGCUGAGAAAGAGGAGCUGCGGGAUUAUGCUAUAUCCUGUGGCUACCAGCACUAUACCAUGACAUAAAAUUAGCGACAAACAUUUGUCGGUAAAAAUAGGCUUUUGGCGACAGCCAGUCUGUCGCAACAUAAUACCAUCACAGCAUCCGUCGGCAUAUAGUAUUUUGGUGUCAAACAAACUGUCAGCAAAAAUUUCUAGCUAUUGUGAUAGACUAUCUGUCGGUAUAAACAAUUAUUCGUGACACAACAUCUGUCGGAAACAAACUGCUAGGACUUAAUUAAAAAAGACCAACAUGUCAUCCUCCUGCGCUAGCCGGCUGGGUACCCGUAAGCAAAAAAUACCAUCGCGUGUGCUGUAGUCCGGCCUGCGCAGGAGCCGCCGCCGCGCCUUACCCUAGACGCCGCCGCCGCCGACGUCCGGCCUGCGCUCCCUCACCCGCGCGCGGUCGCGCCCAGCCUCCGUUGCCCUCAGUCGAUCAGCAGCCGCCAGUCCACCACUGCCUCACGCCCUUCGUCGAGCACGGCCAAUCCACUUCGUCCCCUCCUGCUGCUGAUCCCCUUCGUCGAGCACGGCCAAGGUUGGUUUCCCUUCUUGCCCCUGCCUCCAUUUCUCUCGUCUGUGGUUGCUGAUGGUGUAGCCCAACACGUUAAGCCAUGAUCUAUGCAUAAUUACCUGAAGUAGUAUUCGUUGGCACGAGCGUUUCGAUGUCGAAGCUCUGCACGACGGAGACGAUGACAGACUUCAUCUCCAUGAUGGCGAGCUCUCUGCUGAGCAGACGUGCACGCCGCCCUGGAAGAUUGGGUACCCGUAGGGACUCGAUCUCGGGCACGAACGCCGUCAUGGAGCCACGGUCCAGCCAAUCGGGGCCUCACAUGGCUUCUGGUAAUUAAUGUUAAGUGGAUUUAGUGUGUAACUUGACUCUUAUCUCUCGGUUAGUCCUAAUUCCUAAAAGCAUAUCGGUAUUUUUUUUGGUUCAUGAUUACUAUGAUUUGAAAUCAACACACCCAAAAUGCUUCAUUAGCAAUUUACUGAAGGAUGACAGAGCACGUAGGUUUAGCCGUCAGUUCAACUUUCUAGGGUACUGUAUCGAAUAUUGAAGAUCAGUGAACCACAAAUGUCCAAGUACGAAGAGUUUCAGUAAGAUGUUACUUCAGUGUUGAUGGAUUCUUCUAGUGAAAUGAUUACAAAAAUGAUAUGGAGUUACUUGAUAGUUGAUACUGAUAUUUGCUCUGAAUGCAUGGCAUUUUGUGAUGAUUUUACUGUGGUCAGGGUACAGUAUUUUUUGAACUUUAGCUAGUCCCUUAAAUUAAUAUAGUAAUUGUUCUCAUUAGUGUUGCAAAGGUCAUAAACCCUUCGAUCUGCCCGUAGACAAUGCAACUGUCGAAGGAUUUAGCAAAUUCAGAUAAAAAAGAACUACUAAACCAAGAUAUCCGCACCUUAGUGUUAUUAUUAUUGUGUGUUCUAUUGUUUUAGCCAUCCACUUGUGUCUUACUAUCAUUAUUUUAUUUAAAAUUUUAUACAUUUUAUUUUUAAAACAAAAUUAAAUCGAUAUGCUUUUAAUCACAGGAGAAGGGGACGGUGGCGAGUCACAAGCGGCCGACUGCCACCAUCGAGGAGUAGUGUGGGCAGGCUGCCGGCGAGGGCAAGUGUGCGCGACUACCGCGAGGACGAGUGCGGGCGGGCUGCUACAGAUUCUUGGAUCACAUCCAUUGGUAAGUGGUAAUCUCCAGCCUUAACUUUUCCAUAUUCUAUUGAUUAGAACUAUCUUCACUAGGAAAUCUACUUAAUUCGGUUUUUAUCUUUGGUACUUGUAAUGAUCCCCCCUUUUCCACCAUUUUUUCACCUAUAUUAUGAAGCUGGGAAGGGUACAAUCCAUCUUAUUAUUUAUUAAGGUACAACAUGGAUAAAAGGUGGAUGAAUGAACCUAGGUAUAUUUCUGACAAUCCACUAUAAACCAUUAUUUUUUGGUAAUCACCUUGUACCAACAUAUCGUAUUUGUACCUAAUCUUCAUAGGCACACGAAGGUCUACAUAGAUGGGGUGGCUGGAUUUAUUGAGUUUGCGUUUAGCAAUUCUAUAGGUGGAAACAAAAUUCUAUGUCCUUGUAGAAAAUGUGUUAAUUCUCUAUGGAAAGAUGAAAAUGAAGUUCGUGCACACUUGAUAUGUGAUGGCUUUCAAGAGGGAUACAAAAGGUGGACUUAUCAUGGAGAAAUAGACUCUAUGCCUAUUAAUAGUCAUGACUACACUGAUACAGAGGCUGUAAACAAUUCAGAUGAAGAUGACAUAGCCAAUUUGGUUCAAGACUUAGCUGGUGGUCUAGAUGAUAAAGGGGAUUUUGAAGUAUCUGAUGGUUUAGAUGAAACUGAUGUAGAUUUAGAAGCCAUCAAUCAGUUAGCGAUAGAUAAUACCCAAGAGCUAUACCCAGGGUGUAAGAAGUUCUCCAAGUUGCAUUUCUUAAUAAGAAUUCUUCACUUGAAAUUGCUUGGAGGGUGGACAGAUAAAAGUUUUGAUAUGCUACUAGAUCUACUAAUGGAGGCUUUCCCUGAUGGCUUGGCAUUGCUAAAAAAUUUCAAUGAAGCAAAGAAAGUAAUUAAGUGUCUAGGACUCGGGUAUAUAAAAAUUGAUGCAUGUGAAAAUGAUUGUAUUUUGUUUAGGAAGGAGUAUGCUAAGUAUGAUGCAUGUCCCACAUGUGAAAGGUCACGCUGGAAAUAAAAAAGGAUAAGUUUAAAUGGAAAACGUGUACACAAGGUUCCAUGCAAAGUUCUUCGUUAUUUUCCAAUAAAAAGAAGGCUUCAGAGGUUAUUUCUGUCAUCUAAGAUAGCAAGUGACAUGAGGUGGCAUGAUGAGGAGCGUAUACAAGAUGGAUUACUAAGGCAUCCUGUAGAUUCACCUCUCUGGAAGGAUUUUGACCAAAAGCACCCAGUGUUUGCUUCUGAUAGUCGCAACAUUAGACUUGCUUUAGCUACAGAUGGUUUUAAUCCGUUUAGGUCCAUGAAUGUUAGCUAUAGCAUUUGGUAUGUUAUUCUCAUCCCAUAUAACUUUGCACCAUGGUUGUGUAUGAAGCAAACAAAUUUCAUUAUCUCAUUGCUGAUUCCAGGCCGUAGAUCUCCUGGUAGUGAUAUAGAUAUUUAUUUUCAGCCACUAAUUGAUGAUCUGCUAGAUAUGUUUGUUGAAGGGGUAAGAACUUAUGAUUCUUCAAAGCAUGAGUAUUUUCAAUUGCGUGCUGCAAUAAUAUGGACCAUAUCUGAUUAUCCAGGUCUAGGGUACAUUGCAGCAUGUAGUACAUCAGGUGAAGUAGCAUGUAUUGAAUGCCACUCAUAUACAUGUUCUCUACGAUUGAAACAAGGUACAAAAAAUUGUUAUAUGGGACACCAUAGAUUCUUGGGCCCAAACCAUCCAUAUAGAUUUGAUCUAGAUUCAUUUGAUGGUAAAGUUGAGGAUAGGCCAGCGCCUAGACCACUUUCUGGAGAGGAAAUUUUAUUGCAAACAGAGAAUAUGCACACAGUGCAUGGGAAAGGUUGCCAACAUAAAAAGAAAGCAAAAAAGAAGGAAGGGGAGCCUACUAUCAUAUGGAAAAGGAGGUCUAUUUUUUUAGGCUUCCAUAUUGGAAGGAUUUAAUGUUACGACAUAAUUUAGAUGUCAUGCAUAUUGGGAAGAAUGUGUGUGAUAACAUUGUCAACACCCUCCUAGGCAUUCAACGGAAGUCCAAGGACAACUUGAAAUAUCGUUUGGAUCUUCAGUCCCUAGGCAUUCGAACUGAGCUUCAUCCUAUUCCAGUGGGUGACAAGUUAUAUUUACCACCAGCAUCAUAUACAAUGAGUGCGUCCGAGAAGACAUUAUUUUGUGAGGUAUUGAAAGGAGUAAAAUUUCCAGAUGGAUAUGCAUCAGAUAUAAGAAACAAUGUGGAUGUGAAGGAGAAGAAGCUUGUUGGGCUAAAGAGCCAUGAUAACCAUGUUCUGUUACAGUAUUUACUGCCACUUGCUCUGAGAAGGAUUUUACUAGAAAUAGUUAGUGCUGCGUUGAUUCGUGUGAGCAAUUUUUUCAAGCAAAUCUAUUCGCCAGUUAUUCAUAUAAGCGAUAUGCAUAAGCUAGAGUCAGAAAUAGCUGAGACUCUAAGCAUACUUGAGACUAUAUUCUUGCCAUCCUUUUUUGAUAUUAUGGUACACUUAAUGGUUCAUCUCCCUACUCAAGUUAGAAUUGCUGGCCCUGUUCAAUUUCGUAAUAUGUACCCAGUGGAGAGGUAAAAUUUAAUAUAUUUUAGCAAUAAAUUAAACUUAGUUUUACUCAAAGGAAGGUUUAACAUAUAUGCCAUUUCUCUUUUAUAGGUUUUUAAUGAGAUGUAAGGGCCAUGUUCGCACUAGGAGUCACCCAGAGGGGUCAAUUGCAGAAAGUUAUCUAUUUGAUGAGAGCCUCACAUUCUGUUCUCGCUAUUUACAUGGUGAAACUAGAUUUAACCGGAAAAAAAGAAAUGACGAUGGCUUGGAUGUUGAUUUAAUCAAUACCACCCCUUUCUUCCAUAACAUAGGUCGAGGAUUGGUUGGUAAGCAUAGUGUCACAUUAGACCACAAAACAUGGCUUCAAGCACAUAGAUAUGUCUUGUUCAACUAUGACCAUAUAGAGCCUUACUUGAAGUAAGUUAACCAUUAUAUGUUAUAAUCAGUAUCACCCAUUUAUUUCAUGAUUACUAAAUUAUAAUGUUUGUUUAGUAAACAUAUAGAAUACCUUUACUCUGGUGGUCAUCAAAAUCAAAGAGCAAUCAAUCGUUUACACUAUGAGACUUUUCACGAGUGGUUUAAGUCACACGUAAGUAUCUAGGAAAAUGUUUAUAUAGAAUAUAGUUCCACAUUAUUUCUUUAGUGCAAUAACAAUCUUCAAUAUCAUCAGGUGGAAACAACGGGUGAAGAAUUACCUGAGGAGAUAACAAUAUUAGCUAAGGAGCCUAACAUGGUUGCACAUUCUUAUGACAGUUAUACUAUAAAUGGGAUAAAUUUCCAUACACAUUCUUAUGAUGUGGGUAGGUCAGUGCAGUGUAGUGGUGUAGCCCUAGUUGCACAAGCAGCAAGUUUUGAUGGGACAAACAAUAAUAACCCAAUAUCAACGAGCAAAACUUAUUAUGGUGUUAUAAAAGACAUUCUUGAGCUUAACUACCAUCACCAGGGAAAAAUAGUAUUGUUCAAAUGUGAUUGGAUUGAUAACCGAGUACGAGACAAAUGGGUCAAAAUAGACAAGUUUGGGGUGACAAUGGUCAACUUCAAGCAUUUAUUCAAUACAAGGAAUUAGAUGAGCCAUUUAUUUUUGCAUCUCAGGCAACUCAAGUUUACUAUGUGCAAGAUCCUAUUGAUGCUGAUUGGUUUGCUGUUUUAAAGUCAAAACAACGUGACAUGUAUGAUAUGGAAGAAAGGCUAGACAAUAGUACAGAAAUAGGUUCUUUCUUGCCAGAUUUGGAUGCAAACACACAAGUUAAUGUAUCUAUUGGUGGUAGUUGUGUUAGGACUGAUAUAGAUGGAAUAAUGAUUGCCGAAAACCAACCUAGCAAGUAAGAUAUGUUUAUAUCUGUUUUCGGAAAAAUGUUUCAUUUUACGUUGUAAUCUCUUUGUCUUGAAUCUUGAUUGUAAUCUCUUUAUGUCUUGAUUCAGGAGGAAAGUUUGUAAGAGGAAGAGGAAUGGGUAAAGAAACAGAGGUCAAUGAAUAUGAACUACAAAGGGCUGCCAACAUAAAAGAAAAUUUGAAGAGGAUGAGAUCUCUUAAUCUCCAUGUACCUAGUACUAUGGUUAAUGAAGAAGCAAAUGGAUCACAUCGAGCCAAUAAGAAAUAUAAGGUUAAUGUAUUUCCCUAUUUAAUAAGUCCAUGUUUUUUACAUUUAAUUUAAUAGUACCACAAUCUAUCUCAAUACAUGCAUUCUGCAGUCUCUACUUCUUGUACUGUUUUCAAUAUUUCAGUUUCAGACUUUCAGUUCUUGUACUGUCUGUGUAUCCCAGUAAAGAUAGUUCUGUUCCUCCUCCUUUCUUGAGUUUAAGACCAUCUGUGUGUACCAGCAAUGUACCAGCAAUGUAUCUUACCUGACAUAGCUCCCAAUAAAGAUAGUUCUGUUCCUCCUCCUUUCUUCAGACUUUCAGUUCUUGUACUGUCUGUGUGCGUCAUCUGUCCAUAGGAGUAUCACAGGGAUUACAUCCUUUCAUCUGACAUAGCUCUACUAUUUUUGCAGCAUAAGCACUUUGAUAGACAAUUAGUUCCUUUCUUGUAGAGUCAUUACAUCCUUUCAUCUGACAUCCACAUAAACCCCUACCAUCAACAGUGAAUCAUUAGUUCCUUUCUUGUAGACAACAUCCUCCACAUUCCCAGCUGCUUCAAUACAUUCCCUGCUUCAAUACAUUCCCAGCUGCUUCAAUACAUUCCCAGCUGCUUCAAUACAAUCCCAGCUGCUUCAAUACAAUCCCAGCUGCUUCAAUACAUUCCCAGCUGCUUCAACCACCACUUCAAUCCUAUAGCUCUACGCCCUUUAGGCAAAUCUGGCCAAGACCAGGUGUUGUUGUUUUCUAUGGCCUGCAGCUCUGAAUUCAUUGCAUCUCUCCAAUUCUGGUCUGCCAAGGCACUCUCUACACCUUGCCAGACAACUUGUCAAUUUCAGUAGACACCUUGCCAUCUCCACUACUGUUUGAUUUCUUCUCUCGACAACUCCAUUCUGUUGAGGAGAAUAAGGCGUAGUAGUGUAAUGCUUGAUGCCACACUCAAGACAUGGUGCCGCUGGUCGACGAAUAUGGCUUCAGCUGUGCUGCGCCCCCUCAAGACAUGGUGCCGCUGGUGAGAAAGCUUAAGGACAUAAUACAGGCUAACAACAACACAACCACAGUCAAAUGCCUGCGGACAGUGAAGCUUACCUGCAAGCUGGUCGUUUCAAUGGCACAGCUCAAGCCCAUGUGCAUCAAAGAUUUCACAGAGCACAAUUUCAUGGAUCUACACUUGGAGUCUUUGAAGACGUUGUCAGAUCUCGAUAACUGUCUCAUAUUAUUUGAGGUCGAUGAUCAUUAUCAGGUGACAAAGACUGAUCAAAUUUAUCAAAUGAUGGUAGCAGCUCAAGGGGUGCAACAUAUAGAAAGCCCAUCACAACAUGGGUCUAAUUCUCGACAGGUGAUAUAAUAUUGCAUAUGUUUAGUCAGUGUCUAUCAUGUUAAUUAGGCUUGUUUCCUUUAUCUCACUAACACUUUUUCCCUUUUUAUUUUUCUUUAGAACUCAAGGGUGCAUCGUUCAGAUGAGGUAGCACAUGAUUACAAUGGUAAUAACCAUUCACAAAAUAUGGUUGAAGAUGACUUCCAACUUACUAGGCGAGUUGCAAGCACUAUGGGUCGUCUAAGGAAUCGUGUAGAUGUUAAUACUAUUGAAGAGCAAAGUCACAGGCGAGACAUUGCAACAAUGGUACCUCAAAGAAAUCAUGGAUCAUCUCAAAAUGCAGAUGAUAAUCCUGUAAUUUUCUCAUCUAUCACUUCAUAUUUAUGUUUCAUUAUUUGAACUUUGUAAUCUUACUUCGCAUAUUUUAUUAGGUUGGUAAAGAAGUGAUAUUAUAUUCUAUGAUGAGAUCAGAAGUUCCUGUUGCAAUAGCAAAUAUUAUCUCAACCGACCCAACCACUAAGGUGGGAGAUGUUCCUCUUGGAAGAGAGUUCACACAGGUUUUUGUGACUCGCGUGCUAAAAAGGGAAAGUACUCUGCCACGACCAUACUUAGGUGUAGAGAGUAUGGGAGAUGCUCUUUUUAUGCCCAUUGCAUGGCCAACAAACAAGGUAAUACUACAACCUUGUAUUUUAUUUAUGUAAUUAAUGGAACAAGCUUCUAAUGUUCUGUAUUUUUAGAUGGGUCGUAACAAAAAAUCAACGUUGACCCAAGGUUCUAUAGCAGCAGGUAAAUAUUUUCUUCA
This 17268-nucleotide long non-coding RNA is filed under the name Zea mays. RNAcentral describes it as "long non-coding RNA (ZMAY_LNC000305)". The record is from RNAcentral. Lineage: Eukaryota; Viridiplantae; Streptophyta; Magnoliopsida; Poales; Poaceae.